Seriola aureovittata is the source of this 2760-nucleotide long non-coding RNA. RefSeq lists it as uncharacterized. The transcript has 3 exons. Lineage: Eukaryota; Metazoa; Chordata; Actinopteri; Carangiformes; Carangidae. The record is from RefSeq and is a predicted model, not a curated record.
UGAAAUGUGAGGAGUGAAAUACACGCAUCAAGCAGCAGGAACAUUCAAAAGUUAUCCAGGAAUUUUCUAGUACUUUUAAUGUCAUCAUCUACUGGUGCAAUCUUCUGUAACUGUGUCAUCAGUUUUGCUCUUUCUUGUUCAACUUUUUCGUCAUAUAAAAAUAUGUUAAACUGAGCGCAGCGCAGUCACCUGGAUUUUAAAGUGUGUUUUGUCUGUAUGCUAAUCAGGCUGCGCGGACUCCAUGACGGGAUUGGUCGGAAGCAGAGAGGAGGAGCCUCCGACUCCACGGCCGGCUUCUCCUAUUGGUGCGGAAAUGAUCCUGACAAUCCUUACCACAGCUGCAGCCGUUCAAGCAUCAGAGGAAGAGAGUUUAAGAGCCCAGCCCUCACAUCGUUAGUGGCAGCUGACAUGAUAGGCAGCUCGCCUCUGUACCACUUGUGUUAACGUGUGUAAUUUGUGAUUUGGUUUUUGAUGCUGGUAGUGAUUGUUGGGGACUGGGCUAGGUUUAAAAUUCUGAUUGUGCAUCACACCCUUAGAAAAAGACUGUUGGACACAUUAAGAACAGGGGUGCUGCUUCUUGUGUUUUUGGGUUGGUUAGAAUCACAUAGUUAGGCUCUUUGUUGGCUCCUGUUCCCCUACUUCAGUUAUCCUCUUGCCUUGUUUGGAUUUUUGUUUACUUAUUUACCCUCCUGGUUAUGUAAUAAAUCAGUAAAUUUGAUUUACCAAUAACACCUGGUUUUAUGUUGCUUCCCUUUUCCCCUAGCUGGGUCAUAACAUGAAGACGGUGACUGGGAAGACAGCCCCAUGGCCUUAUAUACACACACUAGAAACCAACAUGUCUGCAAUGUACUAAAACCUGGCUCUGUCAGCAGUCCACAGUCAGUAAGUGAAAUACUAGAUGAGUAAAAUUUUGCAGGCUGUUGUAUCUUCUUUGCUUGCAGAAAUCAACUGCCUGGUACUGGAUGUGAGUCCCACAGCGUCAGAGGUUUCACUUUCUCAGCAAAGUGGUUCCACAAAGGGUUUAUAUCUUGAUGCUUCAUGUGAAUAGUGCAACAUCUACUGGCCUGAAUGCAAAAUGGGCAAAUACAGACGUUUGUAUGUCACAAAUUGAAUGUAAGUAUAAUGGAAAGCAUGAUUGUAUUUUUCUAAUCCAAGCAUAGAUUUAUAUACUGUAAAAGCAAAUCAAAUGUUUUGUAUGCAUCAAAUGUGUCAAUAUCAGUCAAGUUAAGCUCCAUGUCUUUGUUUUAACUAAGUGUUAAAAACUGUAAGUUGGUUUGCAAUGUGAGCAAAGAACAUGUAGCUUUACUUUUAAAUGUCAGCUUUGGUGGUUUUGCUGUAAAGGUGCAAUAUAAGAUGUGGCCAGAACUUUAGUUUAAAAUGUUCCAAAAAUGAAUUAUCACUAUCAACAGUAUGUGAAGCAGCCACAGUGACGAUGUCAUGAUCAAGAUCUCCAUCUGUUGUAUUUCAGUUAUCUACUGAAGUGCGCAUGCGCACUAGCCAGCCCGACCUGUCCUGUGUUGUAAUACCACUUUGUGACACUAGACGCUGUGUGAGUCAGCGGAGCGUCAAGUCUGGUCUCAGUCCCACGAAGAAGAACAACUUCCGGCAAGGCUCGAGGUUAGCAUCACAGAAACACAGGAAUGGCUAAACCUCCUAAAAGACGAUAUUCAUCUGCAUCCCGAAGGACCGCUCCCGAUAAGAAACCACGUUCAACGGCAAAGAAAAGAAGCAACACGAGUAAAUCUCGAUGUGACUUUCCACCGCUGGAGAAGCUGCUGAGGGUAAAGAGAUGCGGUUUGAUGCCGAGCUCGCAACUUUCCUGUUAGCUUGCCACCUCCUCUGCCUGGACUACCUGUACCCAGGACCAGAGCCUACAGGAAGAGGAAGGCGGCCCGAAGCUGCUGUGGCAGAGCGGGGGCCGCUGUCUGGAGGAACAACCCACCGGCAGCCAACAUCAUGCAUCUGCAGCAAGUGUGGCCAACCCAGAAGGAUUGGCACUGACCUCACUCACAUAGCAAGUGUGUCACACUGUGACUGUUGGUGGAAAUACUGGAGGACAACUUUUUCUAUCUCCAUUUAUAACUUUUAAUUGACAUUAUUUAUUAUUAUUAUUAUUAUAUUUGAUUUGUUGCAUUUGGAGUGGUGUUUGUGUCAGCUGAUGUUUCAUGAUGAUCUCAGUCCAGUGUUCCCUCUCUUUUAGCUCUGUGUUUGGUUUCCACCAGCUCCUGAGGGAAAUCUGUCUCUUUAGCUUCUUAAUGCUCCAGUAUGUUCACCAGCUGCUUUCGCACCGUGUCUGUCUGCUGUUUGCUGCUGAGGAGGUCGUGGACAGUGGCUACGGCCAAAAAAGUAUAUACAUUCAAAGAUGACAAAGACGCUCACAUGUGCUGUGGUACAGUGGAUGGAUGGGCAUCGGUUGAGAAAACUAAGGUCAUCACAUGACUCACUGUCACAGGGGGAGGAGCCCUGGGAGAGACCGUCAGUUUCAUCUGUACCUCAAGUUCUGUUAGUAAGUUAAAUGAUAAGUUUAUGGCACUGCAGUGACUCAAUAUCUCCUCUUGAGGAACAAAGUGGUAUUACAAGAUGAGACGAACAGUUCAGGACAUCUAGCAGCAGUUACACAGUGAACCUUUUUAAGGCAUCUGCAGUCACUUAUUUCUGUCCCAUUAACCCCAUCACCAUUCUGUUCAAAGGAAUGCAUUUUAUUAAGCGUUGCUUUAUAUUGAGUAAACUUUAAAUAAAGGGCUGAUUUGUUUAAGCAUU